This 69-nucleotide transfer RNA is filed under the name Cordylochernes scorpioides. RNAcentral's name for it is "tRNA-Gly". It matches the Rfam family "tRNA". From Rfam's summary of the family: Transfer RNA (tRNA) molecules are approximately 80 nucleotides in length. Their secondary structure includes four short double-helical elements and three loops (D, anti-codon, and T loops). Lineage: Eukaryota; Metazoa; Arthropoda; Arachnida; Pseudoscorpiones; Chernetidae. The record is from RNAcentral.
GCAUCGGUGGUUCAGUGUAGAAUGCUCGCCUGCCACGCGGGCGGCCCGGGUUCGAUCCCGGCCGAUGCA